RNAcentral lists this ribosomal RNA (253 nucleotides) under uncultured bacterium. RNAcentral's name for it is "partial 16S ribosomal RNA". It matches the Rfam family "Bacterial small subunit ribosomal RNA", at positions 524 to 776 of the family's 1533-position model. The record is from RNAcentral.
UACGUAGGGACCGAGCGUUGUCCGGAAUCAUUGGGCGUAAAGGGCGCGUAGGUGGUUCUGUAUGUCUGCCGUGAAAGGGUACAGCUUAACUGUAGCUUGUCGGUAGAAACUGCAGGACUUGAGGCUGGGAGGGGCUGGUGGAAUUCCCUGUGUAGCGGUGAAAUGCGUAGAGAUGGGGGAGAACACUCGUGGCGAAGGCGGCCAGCUAGACCAGUUCUGACACUGAGGCGCGACAGCGUGGGGAGCAAACAGG